Molecule: ribosomal RNA, 440 nt
Filed under: uncultured bacterium
Lineage: Bacteria
Description: bacterial SSU rRNA
Rfam family: Bacterial small subunit ribosomal RNA
Source: RNAcentral
CCUACGGGAGGUAGCAGUGGGGAAUAUUGCACAAUGGGCGGAAGCCUGAUGCAGCGACGCCGCGUGAGGGAUGACGGCCUUCGGGUUGUAAACCUCUUUCAGCAUCGACGAAGCCUUUAUGGUGACGGUAGGUGCAGAAGAAGCGCCGGCCAACUACGUGCCAGCAGCCGCGGUAAGACGUAGGGCGCGAGCGUUGUCCGGAUUUAUUGGGCGUAAAGAGCUCGUAGGCGGCUCGUCGCGUCGGCUGUGAAAACCCGUGGCUCAACUGCGGGCUUGCAGCCGAUACGGGCGGGCUGGAGUUCGGUAGGGGAGACUGGAAUUCCUGGUGUAGCGGUGAAAUGCGCAGAUAUCAGGAGGAACACCGGUGGCGAAGGCGGGUCUCUGGGCCGAUACUGACGCUGAGGAGCGAAAGCGUGGGGAGCGAACAGGAUUAGAUACCC